RNAcentral lists this long non-coding RNA (2732 nucleotides) under Nicotiana benthamiana. RNAcentral describes it as "long non-coding RNA (NBEN_LNC038479)". The record is from RNAcentral. Lineage: Eukaryota; Viridiplantae; Streptophyta; Magnoliopsida; Solanales; Solanaceae.
CAACAUUUCGCUUCAAUUGUAUUCUUAUGUACUGAUUCAGCCUUCUCAUAGAGCUCGAGGUUAAAAAGAAUACGUGGAAGUUUACACAAAAACAAAAUUAAAGUCAGCUAGGCAGACAACAACAACCAGCAAUUAAUCGACAACUUGGAUUCAAGCUUUAGGCCCAGAAAUAGUAUCAAAACAGCUAAAAAACAAACUUUGAAUGAACAACAAUAAUAUAUAACCCAAAAACAAACUUCAAUGACCAAAUCAGAGCUUGAAACCAACCCAGGGAGUUCUGGAAUUUCAAUUAUCAAACACCCAGAAUAAUUAAACCAUUCUCAACCCAAUAAUAUGGAGAUUUAAUUCGAAAUUGACAGCUUUCAAACUACCUAAAAUUUUCAAUGGAAUAAGGAUUAUUUUUGCAGUAGUUUGAAACUUGGAUUCAGAAUAUUUUUAGCCUUUUUUCCUUUUUUAUUUUAAGGUAAGGUAUUGCCCUUUUAUAGACAAAGUCUAGGACAACCUUCAGAUUUCAUUUUACACCAUAAGUCCCUCUUUUAUUUUCAGAUUUUAGCUAUUUAGUCCCUUAGUUAUUGGCUUGUUGGCCUAGUUAUACUACGAAAUUCCUGAAAUUCAAGUUACAACCCCAUCUAGAAGGUUCUAGUGGUUUCGAAUUUCACUUACUACACUAUUCUCUAUUUUGAAAUAUCUUAUGUAUUCUUGAAUUAAUCCUAAAUUCCUAAUCUAUGUUUACAAACCCCCAUCCCUGAUAACUUGGUUAAAACUGACAGUAAUUAGUCAAUCAAGGGCUGGGAAUAUUGUGCUAUAUCCAUACAAAACCUAAAAAUUAAUCUAACUAAUCCAAAUUGAAAUUUAACUCUAAUUAAUAUGAAUCAUAAGACUAAAUUAACAGUGAACUAACAAUUAUCAGCACAAUCGUGGAUUAUUCAAUCAACAACAGAUGACACUAACAGAACAAAAUUAAACCAAGAUUGAAAACUAAAAGGGCAAGAUCAACGGAACAAAAUCAAAACCAUAAAAAUUAACAUCAUUUGAAUAUCUAAAAAUCAGGGAUUAAAUUGAAAAACUCCAAUUUAAACAAAAAAACAUACAAAGGGAUAAACAAAAGAAACCAUGCAAAUAGAAAGCAAAAACAAAUAAAGAAAGAAAAAUAAUCCGGACGUACUAAUUUGGUCACAACUCAGAUUGGCUUUUACUUUACUAACUUCAAAUAUGACCCCUAAAUGAUACUAUAUGUUUGUUCUUUAACAAAACAGACAUAUAAUAUCAUUUUGGAACCAUGCAAACACUUGAAUCUACAACUCCGACCUUUCUUCAACCACAUACCUAAAAUUUGACAAGUUCGAAGUGGAUUUGAAGGGUUUUGGUUUGGGGUUUGGGAAAGGGAGGCCGAAAAGGCUAUAGGGUAUGAUUUUGGUUAGAUUUGGGGAGGGGUGAGUUUCGGCCAGAUUUUCAGACGAAUAUUCGAGGAAUUCGGUGUUGAUUCGAAGCAGGGAACUUACAGAUCUGAGAUGAGGGAUGCUAAGGGGACCUAGGGUGUUAAUUAGGAAGUGAUUGGAGUCGGUGCCGCCGUAGGUGGCGGAGCAACCAUGAUUUCAAAUCAAAAUUCGACGAGUUCGGUCGAUAUUUGAGGAAUGUUAAUCGCAGGAAUGGAAAGAGGAGGUUGAGGAGGUGGGAUGGUGUUUUUUUAGGCCAUUGGAGCAUCGCUGCUGGCAGAGGCAGACGGUGGAGGGUGGUUGUAUUAGGGUUUAGCAAUUUGGACAGGGUACGAGGUUUGGUUUUGCGGUAGUGUGGUUUAAAAACAAUUAUAUAUGUGUUACACCCUAGCUUUGAGACCGUUGGAUUAAGGGCAAUGGACGGUUGUGAUUUACAUUGCCAGACGACGUCGUUUUGUGAGAGGUGGGGUUUGGACUGGGUUUUUGGAGACGGGUUGGGUCAGGUUGGAGGCGGGUUGGGCUGGUUUAUCCUUACAAAAAGAGCCCAAAUUGGUUUUUGUAAUUGAGGCCACAUUUUCAAAUUUCCUUCUUUUCUUUUAGUUACUUUUAGCUACUAAUUUUUGUUUUACUAAAUACCAAAUUGACAUUAAAAUAGAAAUGACCUGAUUAAAUCUAAAACUAAGCUUAUUAAAUUCCAAAUUAACUAAAUCCUAAUUUAAAAGGGAAAUUAAAACAAAUUUGAAACUUCAAAAGUAAAAAUGCAAAAAGAACAGAUUUUGUUAUUAUUUUUAUUUUUUCAUGCUAUUAAUUAAUCACUGAACCUAAAAAUGUUAAAAUUGGUAUCCUAAAUGCAAAAUACUAUUUUUGUAUUUUUAUGAAUUAAAAUACACUCAACAUGCCAGCAAAGACACAAUUAUGCAAUUAAAUUCUAAAAAUCAGACAAAUAAAGAAAAAUUCUAAUUUUAAGAAUUCAUAGGAGCAAUUUAAGCUAGGCGAAAAUUUCAUGCUCACAUCAACAAGGAGUGGGAGAUGAAAAAAGAAGGUUUGUUUUUGUAUUGCUCUAAAGUGAGGCAAAUAGCAGACCUUCAAUUUUUUGGUAAACAGCGCUAAUCCAUUUAUUUUUCUCCAAUGGAAAUAUUGUUGUCUUUAGUGGGGAUGGUAUUUGAUUUUCUCCAGCUAUUCCUCAUGUGUUUUUGAAUAAAAUAAAGCAGAAAACGAAGAAGGUAGGGUCUUUUAUCAGUGAUGGUGAAAAAUUCGAGAAGCUCUUGCUCUCGGAUCCGCCGUUUUUGGUGAAGG